RNAcentral lists this ribosomal RNA (253 nucleotides) under uncultured bacterium. RNAcentral's name for it is "partial 16S ribosomal RNA". It matches the Rfam family "Bacterial small subunit ribosomal RNA", at positions 524 to 776 of the family's 1533-position model. The record is from RNAcentral.
UACGUACGUGGCGAGCGUUAUCCGGAAUUACUGGGCGUAAAGCGUGCGUAGGCGGUUUAGUGUGUGGGAAUUGAAAGCCCGGGGCUCAACUCCGGAUCCGGUUCCCAAACUGCUAGACUCGAGCGUAUCAGAGGAGAGCGGAAUUCCCGGUGUAGCGGUAAUAUGCGUAGAUAUCAGGAGGAACACCGGUGGCGAAGGCGGGUCUCUGGGCCGAUACUGACGCUGAGGAGCGAAAGCGUGGGGAGCGAACAGG